Molecule: ribosomal RNA, 855 nt
Filed under: marine metagenome
Description: bacterial SSU rRNA
Rfam family: Bacterial small subunit ribosomal RNA
Source: RNAcentral
AGAGUUUGAUCAUGGCUCAGAACGUACGCUGGCGGCACGCCUAACACAUGCAAGUCGAACGAAGUAGCAAUACUUAGUGGCAGACGGGUGAGUAACAUGUGGGUAUCUACCCUUUGGCCUGGAAUAACACGAGGAAACUUGUGCUAAUACCGGAUAAGUCUUUACGGAGAAAGCUUUAUGCACCAUUGGAUGAGCCCGCACUUGAUUAGUUUGUUGGUAGGGUAAUGGCCUACCAAGACUAUGAUCAAUAGCUGAUUUGAGAGGAUGAUCAGCCACAUUGGGACUGAGACACGGCCCAAACUCCUACGGGAGGCAGCAGUGGGGAAUCUUGCACAAUGGAGGAAACUCUGAUGCAGCGAUGCCGCGUGAGUGAAGAAGGCCUUUGGGUUGUAAAGCUCUUUCGUCGGGGAAGAAAAUGACUGUACCCGAAUAAGAAGGUCCGGCUAACUUCGUGCCAGCAGCCGCGGUAAUACGAAGGGACCUAGCGUAGUUCGGAAUUACUGGGCUUAAAGAGUUCGUAGGUGGUUGAAAAAGUUGGUGGUGAAAUCCCAGAGCUUAACUCUGGAACUGCCAUCAAAACUUUUCAGCUAGAGUAUGAUAGAGGAAAGCAGAAUUUCUAGUGUAGAGGUGAAAUUCGUAGAUAUUAGAAAGAAUACCAAUUGCGAAGGCAGCUUUCUGGAUCAUUACUGACACUGAGGAACGAAAGCAUGGGUAGCGAAGAGGAUUAGAUACCCUCGUAGUCCAUGCCGUAAACGAUGUGUGUUAGACGUUGGAAAUUUAUUUUCAGUGUCGCAGGGAAACCGAUAAACACACCGCCUGGGGAGUACGACCGCAAGGUUAAAACUCAAAUGAAUU